GAUGAACGCUGGCGGCGUGCCUAAUACAUGCAAGUCGAGCGAGCGGACGAGAAGCUUGCUUCUCUGAUGUUAGCGGCGGACGGGUGAGUAACACGUGGAUAACCUACCUAUAAGACUGGGAUAACUUCGGGAAACCGGAGCUAAUACCGGAUGAUAUUUUGAACCGCAUGGUUCAAAAGUGAAAGACGGUCUUGUUGUCACUUAUAGAUGGAUCCGCGCUGCAUUAGCUAGUUGGUAAGGUAACGGCUUACCAAGGCAACGAUGCAUAGCCGACCUGAGAGGGUGAUCGGCCACACUGGAACUGAGACACGGUCCAGACUCCUACGGGAGGCAGCAGUAGGGAAUCUUCCGCAAUGGGCGAAAGCCUGACGGAGCAACGCCGCGUGAGUGAUGAAGGUCUUCGGAUCGUAAAACUCUGUUAUUAGGGAAGAACAUAUGUGUAAGUAACUGUGCACAUCUUGACGGUACCUAAUCAGAAAGCCACGGCUAACUACGUG
This 497-nucleotide ribosomal RNA is filed under the name uncultured bacterium. RNAcentral describes it as "partial 16S ribosomal RNA". It matches the Rfam family "Bacterial small subunit ribosomal RNA", at positions 28 to 507 of the family's 1533-position model. The record is from RNAcentral.